This 832-nucleotide long non-coding RNA is filed under the name Androctonus crassicauda. The record is from RNAcentral. Lineage: Eukaryota; Metazoa; Arthropoda; Arachnida; Scorpiones; Buthidae.
CAUCCUACUUUGUUAUAACUUUUGCAAAGCACAGAAAUUUGAAUUCCCAUUCUGUAAUGUUUGUAAUGGUCUGCAACUUUUGAAUCUUGUGUCAGAUAUAGUAACCAUUGCUGUGGAGAGAGUAAAUAGCAGCAAGCAGUACUAUUUGUAUUGUAGUUUUUUUUAUUGCAGUUGAAGUCUAGAGUUGAUGGAAUAAUCUUGUUGUUCCUGUUAUCAUCUCUCUUCUUUGUUUUAUUAUAUCAAGAUUUAUAACAUUUACUUUAUACUUUCAGCUGCCUAUAUGUGAAAUUUGAUUUUGUUCAAAGUUCAAUAUAGUGUACUGUUUUGUAGUGUUUUCAGUAAUUUGAUGCAACAUGAAGUUUAUAAAUGAAAACUUCUGGAUUUAGGAACAAAAAUUAAAAUAAUAGAUGAAGUGAUGUCAAAAAAUGACUGAAAACAGAGAUUGGAAGUGUCUAUGGAAUUCCAAAAAGUUUUGUCAACAAUUUUGAACAAUAAGAAGAAAAUCAUUAACAUCAAGCACAUAUGAAAAGUAAUGUAAAGCAUAUAUGGAAUGCUAAUCGUUCUAAUGAUGAAGCUACAAGUUUAUGGUUGCAGCAGGCAACAUGCACAGCAGAUACUAAUCUCUGGACCUAUAUUGCAACAAAAAGCACAGAAUUUUGCUUUUGCAUUGGAGAAAAGACUUCAAAGCUAGCAAUGAUUGGUUACACCAAUUCAAAACUUGUAAUGGACUUGUUUUUAGAAUAAUAUGUAGUGAAAAUGGAAGUGUUGAUUCAAACACUAGAUGAUUGGAUAAAUGAUACACUAACUAGACUUUGUGAAGGAUAUGCUCCAU